GAUAAACGCUGGCGGCGUGCCUAAUACAUGCGAGUCGAGCGAACAGACGAGGAGCUUGCUCCUCUGAUGUUAGCGGCGGACGGGUGAGUAACACGUGGAUAACCUACCUAUAAGACUGGGAUAACUUCGGGAAACCGGAGCUAAUACCGGAUAACAUGUUGAACCGCAUGGUUCAACAGUGAAAGACGGUCUUGCUGUCACUUAUAGAUGGAUCCGCGCCGCAUUAGCUAGUUGGUAAGGUAACGGCUUACCAAGGCAACGAUGCGUAGCCGACCUGAGAGGGUGAUCGGCCACACUGGAACUGAGACACGGUCCAGACUCCUACGGGAGGCAGCAGUAGGGAAUCUUCCGCAAUGGGCGAAAGCCUGACGGAGCAACGCCGCGUGAGUGAAGAAGGUCUUCGGAUCGUAAAACUCUGUUAUUAGGGAAGAACAAAUGUGUAAGUAACUAUGCACGUCUUGACGGUACCUAAUCAGAAAGCCACGGCUAACUACGUG
This 497-nucleotide ribosomal RNA is filed under the name uncultured bacterium. RNAcentral's name for it is "partial 16S ribosomal RNA". It matches the Rfam family "Bacterial small subunit ribosomal RNA", at positions 28 to 507 of the family's 1533-position model. The record is from RNAcentral.